RNAcentral lists this ribosomal RNA (254 nucleotides) under uncultured bacterium. Its description in RNAcentral is "partial 16S ribosomal RNA". It matches the Rfam family "Bacterial small subunit ribosomal RNA", at positions 524 to 776 of the family's 1533-position model. The record is from RNAcentral.
UACGUAGGGUGCGAGCGUUAAUCGGAAUUACUGGGCGUAAAGCGUGCGCAGGCGGUCUGUUAAGACCGAUGUGAAAUCCCCGGGCUUAACCUGGGAACUGCAUUGGUGACUGGCAGGCUUUGAGUGUGGCAGAGGAAGGUAGAAUUCCACGUGUAGCAGUGAAAUGCGUAGAGAUGUGGAGGAAUACCGAUGGCGAAGGCAGCCUCCUGGGCCAACACUGACGCUCAUGCACGAAAGCGUGGGGAGCAAACAGG